Cyanistes caeruleus (blue tit) is the source of this 2580-nucleotide long non-coding RNA. Lineage: Eukaryota; Metazoa; Chordata; Aves; Passeriformes; Paridae. The record is from Ensembl.
UCCCAAAAUCCCAAAAUCCCAAAUUCCCAAAAUCCCGAAUUCCCAAAUUCCCAAAUUCCCAAAUUCCCAAUUUUUCCCUCUGGAAUUUCCCAGAAUUUCCCAAUCCCGGGAUUUUUCCCUCUGGAAUUUCCCAAUCCCGGGGUUUUUCCCCCUGGAAUUUCCCUGUUUUCCCAAUCCCGGGGUUUUCCCCCUGGAAUUUCCCUGGAAUUUCCCAAUCCCGGGGUUUUCCCCCUGGAAUUUCCCAAUCCCGGGAUUUUUCCCUCUGGAAUUUCCCGGAAUUUCCCAAUCCCGGGAUUUUUCCCCCUGGAAUUUCCCAAUCCCGGGAUUUUUCCCCUUGGAAUUUCCCUGGAAUUUCCCAAUCCCGGGGUUUUUCCCCCUGGAAUUUCCCAAUCCCGGGAUUUUUCCCCUGGAAUUUCCCUGGAAUUUCCCAAUCCCGGGGUUUUCCCUCUGGAAUUUCCCUGUUUUCCCUGUUUUCCGUUCCCAGUGGAGACCCUGCGGCUCCUGAUUGUCCGGAGGCUCCGGCCGGGCCGGGAUCCCCGUCCCGACGAUGACGUCACCCCCACGGCCUCGCUGGCCGGAGCGGCGCUCCCGGGCUCCGGCCGGGAAUUCCCGGGCUCCAAACAGGAAUUCCCAGGGUCCGGCCGGGAUUCAGCCACAUCCAGCCGGGAAUUCCCAAUGUCCGGCCGGGAAUUCCCGGGCUCCAAACAGGAAUUCCCAAUGUCCAGCUGGGAUUCAGCCACAUCCAGCUGGGAAUUCCCGGGCUCCAAACAGGAAUUCCCGGGGUCCAAACAGGAAUUCCCAGUGUCCAGGCAGGAAUUCCCGGUGUCCGGCCGGGAUUCAGCCAUGUCCAAACAGGAAUUCCCGGUGUCCGGGCAGGAAUUCCCAGUGUCCAAACAGGAAUUGUCCAAACAGGAAUUCCCGGUGUCCGGGCAGGAAUUCCCAGUGUCCAAACAGGAAUUCCCAAUGUCCGGCCGGGAAUUCCCAAUGUCCAGCGGGGAUUUGGGAAUGUCCGGGCAGGAAUUCCCGGGCUCCGGCCAGGAAUUCCCGGUGUCCAGCCGGGAUUCAGCCACAUCCAGCCGGGAAUUCCCAAUGUCCGGCCGGGAAUUCCCAAUGUCCGGCCAGGAAUUCCCAAUGUCCAGGCAGGAAUUCCCAAUGUCCAGCCGGGAUUUGGGAAUGUCCGGCCGGGAAUUCCCAGUGUCCGGCCGGGAUUCAGCCACAUCCAGGCAGGAAUUCCCAAUGUCCAGCCGGGAUUCAGGAAUGUCCGGCCAGGAAUUCCCAAUGUCCAGUCGGGAUUCAGCCACAUCCAGGCAGGAAUUCCCAAAGUCCAGCGGGGAUUCGGGAAUGUCCAGCCGGGAAUUCCCAAAGUCCAGCCGGGAUUCAGCCGUGUCCAGUCGGAAUUUGGCCGCAUCCGGCCGGGAAUUCCCAAUGUCCGGGCAGGAAUUCCCAAAGUCCAGCCAGGAAUUCCCGGUGUCCGGCCGGGAUUCAGCCGUGUCCAGUCAAGAAUUCCCGAUGUCCGGGCAGGAAUCUCCAAAGUCCAGGCAGGAAUUCCCGAUUUCCAGACAGGAAUUCCCGGUGUCCGGCCGGGAUUCAGCCAUGUCCAGGCAGGAAUUCCCAAUGUCCAGCCAGGAAUUCCCGAUGUCCAGCCGGGAAUUCCCAAUGUCCAGUCAAGAAUUCCCAAUGUCCAGCCGGGAUUCGGGAAUGUCUGGCCGGGAUUCAGCCGUGUCCAGUCAAGAAUUCCCGAUGUCCAGUCAAGAAUUCCCGAUGUCCAGGCAGGAAUUCCCAAUGUCCAGCCGGGAUUCAGCCGUGUCCAGUCAAGAAUUCCCGAUGUCCAGCCAGGAAUUCCCGAUGUCCAGCCGGGAAUUCCCAAUGUCCAGCCGGGAUUCGGGAAUGUCCGGCCGGGAAUCCCGGGAAGAGCCGGAGCCCAGCGGGAUCCAAAUCAAGCGGAAAGGUAACGUCCGGCCGGGAAUCCCGGGAAGAGCCGGAGCCCAGCGGGAUCCAAAUCAAGCGGAAAGCGCUAAUUUGGGGCGCUAAUUAACUUCCGGUGCUGACUGGGGGUUCUGGGUGCUGAUUUUUGGUUCUAAUUAAUUUUGGGGUGCUAAUUUGGGGCACUAAUUAAUUCCCAGCGCUGAUUUGGGCUGCUAAUUAAUUUCAUGUGUUGAUUUUGGGGAUUUUUGGGUGUUAAUUGGGUUGCUAAUUAAUUAAUUAGGGAUGCUGAUGAAUUAAAUGGGGUGCUAAUUAAUUAAUUAGGGAUGCUAAUGAAUUAAAUGGGGUGCUAAUUAAUUAAUUAGGGAUGCUAAUGAAUUAAAUGGGGUGCUAAUUAUCUCAUUAAGGGUGCUAAUGAACUGAUUAGGGGUGCUAAUUAAUUGAUUAGGGUGGUAAUUAAUUAAUUGGGGUGCUAAUGAGCUAAUUGGGGUGUUAAUUAAUUAAUUGGGGUGCUAAUUACCGCAUUUUGGUGGCGGGGCUGCUCCCCCCCCCUUCCCCUCCCCCCCCUUUUUUGGGGGGGCCCAGCCCAGGAGGAGGGGCCUGAGGAGGCCACGCCCCCGAGCGGCUGCAGCCAAUCAGAGCGCGAGCUGCGGGAAG